UACGUAGGGGGCAAGCGUUGUCCGGAUUUAUUGGGCGUAAAGAGCGUGUAGGCGGCCAGGUAGGUCGGUUGUGAAAACUGGAGGCUCAACCUUCAGAGGUCGACCGAAACCAUCUGGCUAGAGUCCGGGAGAGGAGAGUGGAAUUCCUGGUGUAGCGGUGAAAUGCGCAGAUAUCAGGAAGAACACCCGUGGCGAAAGCGGCUCUCUGGAACGGUACUGACGCUGAGGCGCGAAAGCGUGGGGAGCAAACAGG
Molecule: ribosomal RNA, 253 nt
Filed under: uncultured bacterium
Lineage: Bacteria
Description: partial 16S ribosomal RNA
Rfam family: Bacterial small subunit ribosomal RNA
Source: RNAcentral